RNAcentral lists this long non-coding RNA (283 nucleotides) under Phascolarctos cinereus (koala). Its description in RNAcentral is "lncRNA (ENSPCIG00000032785.1)". The record is from RNAcentral. Lineage: Eukaryota; Metazoa; Chordata; Mammalia; Diprotodontia; Phascolarctidae.
GCUGAGCUAGUCAGAGAGGAAGAGAUGCUCUCUGGGGAUAAGACCUGCGUUUGCAGCCAGAUGAAAAGCAGGGCAGUGGGUUGUGGAUUUUAGACAGCUGUUUCAGAAAGCCUUCCCACCAGGACGUGAGCAAGGUCUCCUGAACAGGGAAGCUUACACAAGUCAAGGCUUAUAAGGAAGGAAAACCACACCCCCCAAAAGACUGCAAUUCAAAGUCUGGUGAGUGACUGGAGGUGGGGGGAAGGGGUGGGGAAAUGCCAGACUACAGGAUUCUUAUCAGAAA